RNAcentral lists this ribosomal RNA (443 nucleotides) under uncultured bacterium. Its description in RNAcentral is "partial 16S ribosomal RNA". It matches the Rfam family "Bacterial small subunit ribosomal RNA", at positions 338 to 795 of the family's 1533-position model. The record is from RNAcentral.
CCUACGGGAGGCUGCAGUGGGGAAUAUUGGGCAAUGGAGGAAACUCUGACCCAGCAACGCCGCGUGAAUGAGGAAGGGAGGAGGAGGGGAAAGGGGGGGUCGAAGGGAAGAAGAAAGUGACGGUACCUGAGGAAUAAGCCUCGGCUAACUACGUGCCAGCAGCCGCGGUAAUACGUAGGAGGCGAGCGUUAUCCGGAAUGACUGGGCGUAAAGGGUGCGUAGGUGGUUUGGCAAGUUAGUAGCGUAACUCCAAGGCUCAACCUUGGAACUACUACUAAAACUGUUGGACUUGAGUGCAGGAGGGGCAUCCGGAAUUCCUAGUGUAGCGGUGGAAUGCGUAGAUAUUAGGAGGAACACCAGUGGCGAAGGCGGGUUGCUAGACUGUAACUGACACUGAGGCACGAAAGCGUGGGGAGCAAACAGGAUUAGAUACCCUAGUAGUC